GACGAACGCUGGCGGCGUGCUUAACACAUGCAAGUCGAACGGAAAGGCCCCUUUGGGGGUACUCGAGUGGCGAACGGGCGAGUAACACGCGAGUAACUUGCCUUUCACUUCGGGAUAACUUCCGUAAACUGGGGCUAAUACCGGAUAGGAAUCCUUGCUGCCUGGUGGGGGGUGGAAAGCUUCGGGGGUUUUGGAGGGACUCGCGGCCUUUCAGCUUGGUGGUGGGGUAGUUGCUUACCAAGGCUUUGACGGGUAGCCGGCCCGGGAGGGGGACCGGCCACAAUGGGACUGGGAUACGGGCCAGACGCCGACGGGAGGCAGGAGGUGGGAAAUUUGCACAAUGGGGGGGAGCCUGAUGCAGCAACGCCGCGGGCGGGAUGACGGCCUUCGGGUUGUAAACCGCUUUCAGCAGGGGCGAAGCUUGUAGUGACGGUACCUGCAGAAGAAGCACCGGCUAACUACGUG
RNAcentral lists this ribosomal RNA (465 nucleotides) under uncultured bacterium. RNAcentral's name for it is "partial 16S ribosomal RNA". It matches the Rfam family "Bacterial small subunit ribosomal RNA", at positions 28 to 507 of the family's 1533-position model. The record is from RNAcentral.